GGCAGCCUUGGCUCAGGCAUAUCACAGGGCAGUUAGCAAAAUGGAAGGAUUUCAGGCCACAGGAAUCUAAACCUUGAUUUACUCACAUCAUACAUCCUCUGACCAUUUGCCUUAAAAAAAUAAUUUGCUAAAGGAUCCGAAACCUGGUCAGAACCUGGCCGGUGUGGAUUUGGACUGGACCAGUGGCUUCACAUGCUCCUCUGUGCCGAAGGGGAGUGCCCCUCAUUCCCACAGCUGCAAGACUCUGUGCUGUGCUGGUUUUUAUUUAUUUAGGUAAUCUCUACACCCAACAUGGAGGUUGAACUCACCACCCCAAGAUCAAGAGUUGCAUACUCUUUCAACUGAGCCAGCCAGACACCCCUCUUCAGUUCUACUACAGUAUGACAAAAGAUUAUGUGUGUGGGUCAAAACGGAGGGAAAUCUAACUUGGAAGCACAAUGUGACUAGUGCCAAGAUGGUGUGUUAGCACAGGUCCAGAAAAGACCCUUAAUGAGCUGGUCCCAGUGGUGGGGUUAAUGUGGGAAGGCAAAAGGCAUUCUCGUCUGGCCCUCACAAAAUGGACUCUCUUGGGAGUCACUGGAGUCAAAGUAAUGUCCCACCAAGUUUAAAAGGGAGAAUAUCCAGACUGGUCCCUCCGGAGUUGUACAAACUUUUGAUCUUUUUGCUAGAUUUCACAAACAAGGAAGAAAGUUUACAAAAGAAAAACCUAAUGAAAGAGACACACAGAGAAAGACAGAAGCAUGCCCUCCUUUCCAAACACACAUCUACCCAGAGACUACAUUCCCCAAUGACAACUUUGAAAGCUGUGAUCUCAUGGUGGGGAGCAUUUGUCAUGCUAAGCAAAACAGAAAACAAGUUUUGAAAAACAAUCACAGUUCAAUGUAGGAACUGAGUCAUGUGCCCCAGAGUUCACUAUAAACUUGGGAAAACACCACUCCCCAACGGGGCAGGAAAUUCCUCAUUAGGAAGCCAAAGCAUACUGUAAAUUAGCUCUCCUUCUACGCCAUAGGAUGGUGGGUGACCUCCCUGGCCCCUUAAAGCUCUCAGCAGGAGCUCCUGCCACUGCCUCUGUGGAAAAGGCCUGAAUUAGGGAACAGAAGACCUCAGAAGACUUACAAGUUCAUCUGAAAGACUGGACAAGCUUCCUAUAAGCAUGACUGCAGUUAUAGAAGGGAAGAGGCAGUGACCUGGAUUCAAAUCACAGCUCACAAAACUACUUCCUAGCUUUGUGACCUUGGUAAUUUUGUUUUCACUUCCCUCACCUGUAAAAUGGGAGAAUAACAGUUUCUACCUUACCGGUCACUGUGAGGAAUAAACAAGUUGAUAUAUGGAGA
Molecule: long non-coding RNA, 1334 nt
Organism: Neofelis nebulosa (Clouded leopard)
Lineage: Eukaryota; Metazoa; Chordata; Mammalia; Carnivora; Felidae
Exons: 2
Source: RefSeq, a predicted model, not a curated record